GUGAGGAAUAUUGGUCAAUGGGCAGGAGCCUGAACCAGCCAAGUCGCGUGAAGGAAGAAGGAUCUAUGGUUCGUAAACUUCUUUUGCAGGGGAAUAAAGUGCAGGACGUGUCCUGUUUUGUAUGUACCCUGAGAAUAAGGAUCGGCUAACUCCGUGCCAGCAGCCGCGGUAAUACGGAGGAUCCGAGCGUUAUCCGGAUUUAUUGGGUUUAAAGGGUGCGUAGGUGGUUUGAUAAGUCAGCGGUGAAAGUUUGCAGCUUAACUGUAAAAAUGCCGUUGAAACUGUCGGACUUGAGUGUAAAUGAGGUAGGCGGAAUGCGUGGUGUAGCGGUGAAAUGCAUAGAUAUCACGCAGAACUCCGAUUGCGAAGGCAGCUUACUAAGCUACAACUGACACUGAAGCACGAAAGCGUGGGGAUCAAACAGGAUUAGAUACCCGAGUAGUCC
This 445-nucleotide ribosomal RNA is filed under the name uncultured bacterium. Its description in RNAcentral is "partial 16S ribosomal RNA". It matches the Rfam family "Bacterial small subunit ribosomal RNA", at positions 354 to 796 of the family's 1533-position model. The record is from RNAcentral.